RNAcentral lists this long non-coding RNA (4576 nucleotides) under Brassica rapa (field mustard). RNAcentral's name for it is "long non-coding RNA (BRAP_LNC002241)". The record is from RNAcentral. Lineage: Eukaryota; Viridiplantae; Streptophyta; Magnoliopsida; Brassicales; Brassicaceae.
UUUGUUUUCCUCAUAAACGUGGAAAUUCUUUAACAAAUAUUUUCUCCUCUAAUUUUGAUGAGGAACAAGUGGAAAACAAUAAUUAAAGAAAUUAAAAAAAAAACAAAAACAAAAUAUAGGAGAUAAGUAUAGGAACAUUAUAGCUCCUUGUAUAUAGGAGGAUCUUGUAUAUGGUUAGAGUAUAUACUCUGUAGAUAAGCUCUAGAGAUCCUACGUGAUCUCUUCUCUCUUGUAUAUAUAUUGUACUCCUUUCUCUUAUCAAUAUAACACAACCUUCACAUCUCUCUACAUGGUAUCAGAGCGAUCUUGUUAAAUCAACGGAUCCUCUCAAAAUUUUCUUCUUUCUUUAUGCUUAAGAUGGAUAGUUCAUCCUCUUCAAUCACCACUCACGCCACCAUCAACGUUGAUCCACAAAACCGUAUUACGGUGAUCAACAUGGUGAAUAUCACCAAACUCUCGUCAACAAACUAUCUAACCUGGAGUGUGCAGAUCACAUCUCUUCUUCGAGGUUACGAUCUCGUCAAGUUCAUUGACAACACAACCAUUCUACCUGCUGCAACAAUCACAGUCGACGACGUUGACACGCUAAAUCCUGCUCUCAUUGCCUGGCAACGACAGGACAACCUUCUCUUUAGCGCACUCAUGGGCACUAUUGAGAUCUCGCUUCAACCACUCAUCGCUACAUCCAAGACCACUCUUGAGGCUUGGAACACUCUCUCUUACGUAUGGCAAACCUACUCGGGGCCACAUCAAGCAACAACUCAAAUUGUGCGUCAAAGGCAACAAAGAUAUCGAUGCCUACAUGCAGCUGAUCAAAACAAAAGCCGAUGCUCUUGCUCUUCUCGGCAGCCCAGUCGAUGCCAAAGAUCUCACUGACAUCAUUCUCGAUGGACUCACUGAUGAUUACAAAUCUAUCAUCGAGUCUAUCCAUGGACGUGACACUCCAAUCUCAUUUGCUGAACUUCAUGAGAAGCUUCUGAACCGUGAAAAUGCUAUCGCAAGUGCUCAACCACAACCGUCUCCAUUUCCGGUGACUGAAAACUACGUUCAAAAUUCAAAGAACUCCAAUCGUGACUGGCGCUCUCAGACUUCAAACAAUCACCACAACUCCAACUUCAACAAAAACAACAACAACUCAGGGCGUCGUCCGUAUCUUGGUAAAUGCCAAGCUUGUGGAACUCAGGGACACAGUGCCAAAUACUGUUCCACGUUUCGCCUUGUGCAACAACAGUCCUCGCAGUCUGCAACUUCUUCUCUGGGUUCUCAAAAUGGCAUACCGCGUGCCUACAACACCUCUAUCAUGCCUCCUGAUCCCUCGUCAUGGCUUCUUGACAGUGGUUCCACUCACCACAUAACGUCUGAUCUCGCAAACCUUGCACUGCACGCACCUUACAAAGGAUCAGAAGAGGUUCUCGUUGGAAAUGGUGAUGGUCUUCAAAUAACUCACACGGGUUCCCUUUCUCUUCCUCACUCAUCUCUCUCACUUAAGAAUGUUCUUACAGUACCUGAGAUAGCUCGCAAUUUGAUUUCGGUGAAACAACUCUGUACUGACAACCUUGUGUCUGUGAAAUUUUUUCCACAAUCUUUUCAGGUGAAGGAUCUCAGCUCGGGGGCCCAGUUAAUCCGAGGAAAGACGACUAAUGGUGGAUAUGAAUGGCCAACUUCUGAUGAAUCUCCUGUUUUUGCUUUUUCCGCUUCAAUAAAAUGUCCUUUGCCAAUUUGGCAUUCACGGCUUGGACACCCCUCUGUUGCUACUUUAAAAACCAUUGUUUCUUCUUAUUCUUUACCGUGUUCUAAUAAAGAUUCAUCACUCUUAUGCAAUGCUUGUUCAACCUCAAAGAGCCACAAAAUACCUUUCUCCAUUUCUUCCCUCUCUUCCACAAAACCACUUGAACUUCUAUACUCCGAUGUGUGGACCUCACCGGUUCACUCCAUCGAUGGAUUCAAGUACUAUGUCAUUUUUGUUGACCACUAUACCCACUAUGUUUGGCUUUAUCCAUUACGAAAAAAAUCAGAUGUGCUUUCUGUUUUCACUCGUUUCAAAACACUUGUUGAAAAGAAAUUUCAAACCCAAAUAAUCACUCUCUAUUCAGAUAACGGGGGAGAAUACAAUGCUAUGAAAGAUUUUCUUGCCACAAACGGCAUCACCCAUCUUACAUCUCCACCCCACACUCCCCAACAUAAUGGCUUUGCAGAGAGACGCCAUCGCCAUCUUGUUGAAACAGGCUUGGCUCUUCUCUCUCACGCCUCCAUACCCAUUUCCUAUUGGAGCUAUGCACUCACUGCAGCAGCUUACCUGAUAAACCGUCUCCCAACUUCCACUCUCUCCAACUCUUCUCCUUUUGAACUUCUCAAUCUCUCCCCACCAAACUAUACCAAGCUGCGCGUCUUUGGAUGGCUUUGCUACCCAUGGCUUCGACCAUACACUAACCACAAACUUGAUCCUCGCUCCACUCCUUGUAUCUUCUUAGGCUACUCCCAAACUCAAAGUGCCUACCUUUGUCUUGACCCCUCCUCCACCAAAAUUUUUAUCUCUCGUCAUGUUCAGUUUCAUGAAACAGAAUUUCCCUACAAAACUCUCAAUUCCUCUUCGACAUAUGUUCCCUCGUCCUCUUCCACUCUUUGGUGUCCACCAAUUCUUACUUCCUCUGGCCAUUCGAAUUCACCAUCGUCAGCAGUACACUUGCCCCCGGGCUCGGGUCCUUCACAAGCGCAACAGCAAGAAGCAGUGCCUCUGUCAUCAGCUCCUGUUAACUCCGCACCCGCUACGUCAGGUUCUGACACUCAGUGCCCAGCUCCUUCAUCUGCCUUGCUUCCCACGCCACCAAAUACACAUCCCAUGGUGACAAGGUCGAAAAAUCACAUCAACAAGCCUAACCCAAAGUUCGCCAUGCUCGCAAGCUCUGAUCUUGAAACAUAACCAACGUCUAUUGCUCAAGCUCUCAAAGAUGAAAAGUGGCGCCGUGCUAUGGGCUCUGAAUAUGAUGCUCAGAUCAAACAUCAAACAUGGGAUUUGGUUCCACCAGACCCAUCUCAGAAACUUGUCGGUACCAGAUGGGUUCAUCGAAUCAAAAGACUUCCCAAUGGAAACAAGCAGUACAAAUCCAGAUUUGUCGCAAAAGGUUAUCAUCAACGUCCUGGCCUCGACUAUGAAGAAACCUUCAGUCCAGUAAUCAAAGCUGGUACAGUUCGUCUUGUUCUCGGUCAUGCUGUUGCUAAUGACUGGGUUCUUCGCCAAUUGGACAUUAACAAUGCCUUCCUUCAGGGGAAACUCGAAGAAGAGGUCUACAUUGCUCAACCCGCUGGCUUUGUUGAUUCUGAUAAACCAACUCAUGUUUGCAAACUGCGUAAAGCUCUAUAUGGCCUUAAACAGGCACCAAGGGCUUGGUACCAGGAGCUUCGGUCCUUUCUUCUUGACUCUGGCUUCACCAACUCACUUUCAGAUGCCUCUUUAUUCAUCCUUAAACAUCCAGAUGUCACACUCUACGUUUUGGUUUAUGUCGACGACAUUGUCGUAACCGGUAACCAACCUGCAGCUGUUGAAACAUUCAUUCAACGUCUGGGUGCUCGUUUCUUUCUCAAGGACUUAGGCUCUCUAAGCUACUUUCUGGGAAUUGAAGCGCAUCGCACUGGUGAAGGACUUCUCCUUACUUAACAGAAGUACAUCAUUGAUUUGUUGGCUUGCAACAAUUUGCUUGACGCUAAUCCAGUUUCAACUCCGAUGGCUUCUAAUUGUCACCUGCAACUCACCUCUGGAACACCUCUUGAUGAUGGUCGUGAGUACCGCACCCUUGUUGGAAGCCUGCAGUAUCUCCACUUCACCAGACCAGAUGUCGCCUUUGCCGUGAACAAGCUGUCACAGUUCAUGCAUCGACCAACGGAUGAACACUGGAUAGCAGCUAAACGUGUUCUUCGUUAUCUCUCUGGCACUCGCAAUCAAGGCAUAUUUCUUCGACGCAACAACACUCCGAACAUUCAUGCCUUCUCUGACUCUGACUGGUCCGGCAAUCGGGACGAUUACACGUCAACAGGAGCGUACAUUUUUUAUCUUGGCUCUCAUCCGAUGGUCUGGUCUUCUAAGAAACAAAAGACUGUUGCCCGUUCCUCCACUGAGGCUGAGUACAGGUCAGUAGCAGACACCGCAGCUGAAGUCUGUUGGGUGUCUUAUCUCAUGUCUGAAUUGGGCAUCACAUCUUCGUCUCAACCUGUCAUCUUUUGUGACAAUGUGGGAGCUACCUAUCUUGCGGCAAACCCUGUUUUUCACUCACGGAUGAAGCAUGUCGCGCUUGACUAUCAUUUCGUUCGUCAGAUGGUUCAGUCCAAGUUUCUUCGAGUAACUCAUGUCUCAUCUAAAGAUCAGUUGGCUGACGCUCUCACUAAACCGCUGCCACGUCUGCGUCUACAACAACUUAGUUCCAAGAUUGGGCUCUCUACCGGUCGCUCAUCUUGCGGGGGCGUAUAGAAGAUAAGUAUAGGAACAUUAUAGCUCCUUGUAUAUAGGAGGAUCUUGUAUAUGGUUAGAGUAUAUACUCUGUAGAUAAGCUCUAGAGAUCCUACGUGAUCUCCUCUCUCUUGU